RNAcentral lists this signal recognition particle RNA (77 nucleotides) under Candidatus Desulfovibrio kirbyi. RNAcentral's name for it is "signal recognition particle RNA component". It matches the Rfam family "Bacterial small signal recognition particle RNA", at positions 9 to 84 of the family's 97-position model. From Rfam's summary of the family: The signal recognition particle (SRP) is a universally conserved ribonucleoprotein involved in the co-translational targeting of proteins to membranes. Archaeal SRP consists of a 7S RNA and homologues of the eukaryotic SRP19 and SRP54 proteins. In most bacteria, the SRP consists of a 4.5S RNA and the Ffh protein (a homologue of the eukaryotic SRP54 protein). Lineage: Bacteria; Pseudomonadati; Thermodesulfobacteriota; Desulfovibrionia; Desulfovibrionales; Desulfovibrionaceae. The record is from RNAcentral.
GCCGGGCGGCGGCGACACUGCCAACCCCGUCAGGUCCGAAAGGAAGCAGCGGCAACAGACGUUGUCGGGUGUCCGGC